This 1478-nucleotide long non-coding RNA is filed under the name Piliocolobus tephrosceles (Ugandan red Colobus). Its description in RNAcentral is "lncRNA (ENSPTEG00000035995.1)". The record is from RNAcentral. Lineage: Eukaryota; Metazoa; Chordata; Mammalia; Primates; Cercopithecidae.
CCUGGGUACCAUCACCAGUGCGGGGCAGCCCGUGAGCCCCUGGAGAGAGGUCUCCCUGACACCCUGCCCACUCCUCCUGGGGCCGAGCAGGAGUCACAUCCGAGGGCUGGGUCAUUAUCUGAUAAAUGAGUGGGUUGUGCAGAUGAGUAAACAGGGACUGACCCAGAGGUCAGGUGUAACUCAGCCUCAGAAACUGCAUGUGUCAAUAGGAAUCGAAGGGCCAAGGAAUGUGGUUUUCGUUGAUGUCAACUUGCUGCAAAGGACCACACCUGCUUCUCGACCCGGGAACGUGGGAAAGGGAAAGGCAUGGCUUGUUUUGGUGGAGAUGGAGGAGCUGGUAACAGUGGAGGAAUGCCCUUCUGCUGACUCACAGCGGGGAGGUGCUCUGGGCCCCUGCCACUGCCCGAGGACUUCGGCUUUCGGUUGUCCUGAUGAGAGGACGCAGCAUUUGAGCAGUAGCUUCUGGAACCCAGAGUGAAGCCCCACCCAGGCACCCUGACAGCACCACGGGAAUGCUCCCGGCACAGCAGGCGGGACUCUGGAGAAGCACAGCCUCCGUGCUCCUUGUAGAUGUUCAGUUCAAACUCCACGGUUUGUGUGACUCACUGAGGGGCUUGGUUUGGCUCUUGCUGACGAGUCUGUCAUUGGUGCCAGGUGACAUGCUUGUCCCCUCCUUCCUUCUAGCCCUCUCUCUUGCCCCAGGGCUUCAGAAGCAGUGGGAGGGCUACUGUGUUGCCCUCUGGCCCAAGCUCUGGUAUUCCCUUUGUGGUGGGUGCUCUCAUUCCUUUGCAAUGUGCCCUGCAGUGUAAACCCGGGGGAUCCAUGAGACAGGGAACCCACGUCUGUUUUCUCCAUUUGGUGUAGCAUAGCAGUGGGCGUUUGCCAGACAGGGCCUGUCAUGUGGACCCUACACCUAUUCACACACCUGCCAUUUUCCUUCGGAAUCCUGUUCCCAGUGGGUGACGGGUUUAAAAGCCUAGAGCUGAAUUCUAUCCACAUUGGAUCCGACCCACAUUCCAAUGCUCUUGUAAGUCUCCAGUUGGUCAAAUGAGCAGUUUGAUCCCUUGAUCCUUCAAAAUACCAGAUAUAUUUAUUUCUUCUUGCCUUUUGAUCUUUCAAGCUUGAAAUUUCUCGGCACAUAAAAGUCUUCAAAAUGCCCUCAAACUUCUGUCUCCAAAGGCAAUUUUUUUUCCACUUUUUCAUUUUUUUGUAGAGAUAGUCUCACUAUGUUGCCCAGGCUGGUCUUGAACUCCUGGCCUCAAGUGAUCCUCCCCCCUUGGCUUCCCAAAGUGCUGGGAUUACAGGUGUGAGCUGCUGUGCCCGGCCACCAAAGGCAUUUUUACUUGGCUCUGUACAGUGGAGCUGCUUCUCUAUUUGGAGGUUGAAGUUUGUGUCAGGUUCUUGAGUUUGUAAGAAUAGGACAUGAAAACAGAGAGCCUUUUAAUCAGAUGAGCAGCUAUCUAUGUUAUGUUUUCACA